RNAcentral lists this long non-coding RNA (4003 nucleotides) under Salmo salar (Atlantic salmon). Its description in RNAcentral is "lncRNA (ENSSSAG00000104660.1)". The record is from RNAcentral. Lineage: Eukaryota; Metazoa; Chordata; Actinopteri; Salmoniformes; Salmonidae.
ACCUAUUCUGCCCCACAACCCCAGCUACCUAUUCUGCCCCACAACCCCAGCUACCUAUUCUGCCCCACAACCCCAGCUACCUAUUCUGCCCCACAACCCCAGCUACCUAUUCUGCCCCACAACCCCAGCUACCUGUUCUGCCCCACAACCCCAGCUACCUGUUUUGCCCCACAACCCCAGCUACCUGUUUUGCCCCACAACCCCAGCUACCUGUUUUGCCCCACAACCCCAGCUACCUGUUUUGCCCCACAACCCCAGCUACCUGUUUUGCCCCACAAACCCCAGACAUCUAUUCUGCCCCACAAACCCAGCCAUCUAUUCUGCCCCACAAACCCAGCCAUCUAUUCUGCCCCACAAACCCAGCUACCUAUUCUGCCCCACAACCCCAGCUACCUAUUCUGCUCCACAACCCCAGUUACCUGCUACCUAUUCUGCCCCACAAACCCAGCUACCUAUUCUGCUCCACAACCCCAGCCACCUGCUAAACUAUAGUACCUGUAGCUAUUCUACCAACUACUCUGCUACAGUAACUACAAACAGGAGGAUCUGUUUCUGUUAGCUUUGGAAGAGACUGGAGACAUGGAGAUGUAGGAAAGAGAUCUUCACAACAACGGAGCCUGUUUCUGUCCGUAUUGUUAGAUUUAACCUGUAGCCUGUAUGAGAGGACGGUUCAAGUCUGAAUGAUCAGAACAGGCACUGCUGUUGUCUGUUUCUCUGCUGCCUCUCCCUCACUCCCUCAUUCCCUCCUCUUCUCUCCCUCAUUCCCUCCUCUUCUCUUCCUCACUCCCUCCUCUUCUCUCCCCUCACUCCCUCCUCUUCUCUCCCCUCACUCCCUCCUCUUCUCUCCCCUCACUCCCUCCUCUUCUCUCCCCUCACUCCCUCCCUCCUCUUCUCUCCCCUCACUCCCUCCCUCCUCUUCUCUCCCCUCACUCCCUCCCUCCUCUUCUCUCCCCUCACUCACUCACUCCCUCCAAUUCUCUCCCCUCACUCACUCACUCCCUCCAAUUCUCUCCCCUCACUCACUCCCUCCUCUUCUCUCUCUCAUCCUCAGACUACUCAGUACGCUACAGAGAUUACAUAGACUAACUCUUCUUCUCUGAUGCCUUGUGUGACUUUUAAGAAUGUACUUAAAAGCAGCCAUUUUCUUUUCGGUUAGCGUGUGUUUCUGAGGGAAUGGUUUUCAUGUUUUCGGUUAGCGUGUGUUUCUGAGGGAAUGGUUUUCAUGUUUUCGGUUAGCGUGUGUUUCUGAGGGAAUGGUUUUCAAUGCUUUCGGUUAGCGUGUGUUUCUGAGGGAAUGGUUUUCAAUGCUUUCAGUUAGCAUGUGUUUCUGAGGGAAUGGUUUUCAAUGUUUUCAGUUAGCCUGUGUUUCUGAGGGAAUGGUUAAAAAAACAGACUUCAGAUUCAAAUGUAACGACUCCAUUUCUAGCAUGGUUCAUGUGCACAAACACUUUUUUUUUUUUUUUUUUUAGAUCAGCUGCAGCGAUAUAACCUCUUCUGAAAGCUCUUGAGACUAAACUGUAUUUGGAAGUAGAUCCACAGUUUCAGAAUUCAUCUUUAUAUUGAUUGAUACAAUAUUAUGUCAGCAGCUCAACCCAUGUUUCCUUAUUCCAGAAGUGAUCGGGGGAAAUGGUUCUGUCUUUAUCAUGCGUUUAGUCUAUUUAAGAUGUUUUGUAUGUCAGAUUUGGAAUGAAAGUUUAAGAUAUGGAGUGAAUCCCGAAUGGCACCAUACUCCCUUUAUUAGUGCACUACUAUAUAGCCCUGUAGGGUUCUGGUGAAAAGUAGUGCACUAUAUAGGGAAUAGGGUGCCAUUUUGGGAUGCAUACAUUAAUAUAUGUCACAGUUGUAUCCUCGCAACAUUGUAAUUAAAUACGUGAAGCAUCAGCCAACCACCCAUCUGUUUGUUAUUGAAGGUCUAGCUAGCUAUACUCAACCAACCACCCAUCUGUUAUUGAAGGUAUAUAGCUAGCUAUACUCAACCAACCGCCCAUCUGUUUGUUAUUGAAGGUCUAGCUAGUGUCGUGUCUUUGGCUAUGCCGGAUUAAGUGAUAUGACAUGCUAACUUAUAAAAUGAUUUCUCUGUAAUUAAUAUUACCUGAUUAAGCUAAUCAUGUAAAUGUAAUUAACUAGAAAGUCGGGGCACCACGGAAGAACGUUUAUAGAGCUGUUAUCUUCCGAAUAAACUCUUAAAAUACUUAGUAAUAUUUUACCUCGAUAGCAGUCAAUAUUAACCCUUGUCUUAUUUUCAGUCUCAUAAUGAAAGUUGUAAGUUCUUGGCUAUCUUCACGAACCCUGGCUAACAAGUUGAAUCAGCAAUACAAAAUUGGGUUUAAUUAUUUAUUUACUAAAUACCUAACUAAUCACACAGAAUUACAAAUACACAGAAUACAAUGUCGUCAUACAGAAAACGUCCCGGUAGACGGAACAGAUAUGACGGCUGGUUACACAAAGGAAAGGGGUUGGGCUUGAAUGAAAGAGCGGGAAGAUUUAGGAACAGAGAAACAGCAGCUAUGCUAUCGUAAAUACAUUAUCUUAUGCAUUCUAAAUUACCGCCCAUUUGGAAAAGGAAAAUGCAAUAAAUAUUUACUCUGAGCUGCGCUUCGGUAGAUUGGUCGUAGAUGCUGGCCGGGUUGGCCAACAGAUCUUCCUGUUACUCGGAAGAAUGUCUCUGGUGGUCAAUUGGAUACGUGGUGGUAUCUUCGUCGGUCUGUUAGACUAGAUCCGUCGUCCGUCCUUUCCUAGCCCACGUUACAGCGGCCGCUGCUAACUCAACGGCUAGGAAGUAGCACUUCUGUAGUGAAUAAGCUCAAAGUUCAUACCAGUUCAUACCAUAGCUCACGCCGAGGUUGGCUUAGUUGACAUGUGUGUCCUUCUAACGUAGAGGCUGCAGGCCUCUCGUACUGGAACUACCUGGUUAUCUUUUCGUCAAAGGAUUAUAUAGUGGGGAGGGGGAGGGAGGUGUUUCAUCGUUUAUAACCCCUGUCUCUUCACAGGGUUGGGUUACUGAUCGAGCAGGGCACUUUCCUUAUGAAAACCCAAAUCUCUCCUUCGGAAGCUAAAAUUACAUUUCAUCUCCUAACAAACAUUUUCAAUAUCAAACAUUUCAAUUGCAUAACAAUUCCAUGUGACUCUGAUAACUAGAGGGUGUAUACUUUCUCAGAUACAGUUUAUGUCGUCCUGUCAUCAGUCAUAAUGUCUCAGAUGACAACCGAACUGACAUACAUACUCAUUACGUUCCCAAGCAUAUUUCCAACUGGUUUUAUUAACAAAAUAUGUGGUACCUUUCCACAUUUGUUUGAUGUUCCCAGACUCUCUAUAUUUAACAGGACAGCAGUCCUUCAGUAGGGUCAGUAAGAGAGGGGAAGGGGGAAAGGUAUUUAUGGGGGGGGGGUCAUAAACCUUACCCACAGGCCAACGUCAUGACACUAGCUACACUCAACCAACCGCCCAUCUGUUAUUGAACAUCUAGCUAGCUAUACUCAACCAACCACCCAUCUCUUAUUGAACUACUAGCUAGCUAUACUCAACCAACCGCCCAUCUGUUAUUGAACGUCUAGUUGGCUAUACUCAACCAACCGCCCAUCUGUUUGUUAUUGAAGGUCUAGCUAGCUACACUCAACCAACCGCCCAUCUGUUAUUGAACCUCUAGCUAGCUAUACUCAACCAACCACCCAUCUGUUAUUGAAGGUCUAGCUAGCUAUACUCAACCAACUGCCCAUCUGUUUGUUAUUGAAGGUCUAGCUAGCUACAGUAUACUCAGCCUGUUGCACCAUCUCACUGUUUUACCUUCAAAACAUUGGUACCAUUAUAUAAACAGACAGUAUGAACAUUUUGUUUCUUAUUUUAUUGUGCAAAUCAAAUCAGUAUAUCAGUAUUGCAUGAAUUGAUUAAUAAACAUGACUUUACACUCAUAUGUAUUAUUUGGUAGGUGUCAUUUUAAUGUCUUGGAUGCCAUGGUUUGUAAUCAAACAAUCAAAUGUUAUUUUUUUCUUAUUUUUUUUUUUUU